Molecule: ribosomal RNA, 303 nt
Filed under: uncultured bacterium
Lineage: Bacteria
Description: partial 16S ribosomal RNA
Rfam family: Bacterial small subunit ribosomal RNA
Source: RNAcentral
AGCAGUCGCCACGGUAAUACGGAGGGUGCAAGCGUUAAUCGGAAUUACUGGGCGUAAAGCGCACGCAGGCGGUUUGUUAAGUCAGAUGUGAAAUCCCCGAGCUUAUCUUGGGAACUGCAUUUGAAACUGGCAAGCUAGAGUCUUGUAGAGGGGGGUAGAACUCCAGGUGUAGCGGUGAAAUGCGUAGAGAUCUGGAGGAAUACCGGUGGCGAAGGCGGCCCCCUGGACAAAGACUGACGCUCAGGUGCGAAAGCGUGGGGAGCAAACAGGAUUAGAUACCCCGGUAGUCCCUGUCUCUUAUAC